This 484-nucleotide ribosomal RNA is filed under the name uncultured bacterium. RNAcentral's name for it is "partial 16S ribosomal RNA". It matches the Rfam family "Bacterial small subunit ribosomal RNA", at positions 29 to 507 of the family's 1533-position model. The record is from RNAcentral.
AUUGAACGCUGGCGGCAUGCCUAACACAUGCAAGUCGGGCGGCAGAAGAGAGCUGGCUCCUUGAUGCAGCGGCAGAGGGGUGAGGGAGGGCUAGGAAUCGGAACGGUACGGGGGGAGAACGUCAGGUAACGGGCGGUAAUGCCGAAAACGUACAGAGGCUGAAGGGGAGAGAUCGUCACACUCCAGGCUAUCGGAUGAGCCUAGGUCGGAUUAGCUAGUUGGAGGGGUAAAGGCCUACCAAGGCGACGAUCCGUAACUGGUCUGAGAGGAUGAGCAGUCACACUGGAACUGAGACACGGUCCAGACUCCUACGGGAGGCAGCAGUGGGGAAUAUUGGACAAUGGGCGAAAGCCUGAUCCAGCCAUGCCGCGUGUGUGAAGAAGGUCUUCGGAUUGUAAAGCACUUUAAGCUGGGAGGAAGGGCAGUAAGUUAAUACCUUGCUGUUUUGACGUUACCAACAGAAUAAGCACCGGCUAACUUCGUG